RNAcentral lists this ribosomal RNA (622 nucleotides) under Staphylococcus aureus. RNAcentral's name for it is "partial 23S ribosomal RNA". It matches the Rfam family "Bacterial large subunit ribosomal RNA", at positions 1601 to 2224 of the family's 2925-position model. Lineage: Bacteria; Bacillati; Bacillota; Bacilli; Caryophanales; Staphylococcaceae. The record is from RNAcentral.
CACACUGCCGAGAAAAGCCUCUAGAUAGAAAAUAGGUGCCCGUACCGCAAACCGACACAGGUAGUCAAGAUGAGAAUUCUAAGGUGAGCGAGCGAACUCUCGUUAAGGAACUCGGCAAAAUGACCCCGUAACUUCGGGAGAAGGGGUGCUCUUUAGGGUUAACGCCCAGAAGAGCCGCAGUGAAUAGGCCCAAGCGACUGUUUAUCAAAAACACAGGUCUCUGCUAAACCGUAAGGUGAUGUAUAGGGGCUGACGCCUGCCCGGUGCUGGAAGGUUAAGAGGAGUGGUUAGCUUCUGCGAAGCUACGAAUCGAAGCCCCAGUAAACGGCGGCCGUAACUAUAACGGUCCUAAGGUAGCGAAAUUCCUUGUCGGGUAAGUUCCGACCCGCACGAAAGGCGUAACGAUUUGGGCACUGUCUCAACGAGAGACUCGGUGAAAUCAUAGUACCUGUGAAGAUGCAGGUUACCCGCGACAGGACGGAAAGACCCCGUGGAGCUUUACUGUAGCCUGAUAUUGAAAUUCGGCACAGCUUGUACAGGAUAGGUAGGAGCCUUUGAAACGUGAGCGCUAGCUUACGUGGAGGCGCUGGUGGGAUACUACCCUAGCUGUGUUGGCUUUCUA